UACAGAGGUCCCAAGCGUUGUUCGGAUUCACUGGGCGUAAAGGGUGCGCAGGUGGCCGCGCAAGUUCGAUGUGAAAGCCCCGGGCUUAACCCGGGAAUGGCAUUGAAAACUGCGUGGCUGGAGGAUCGGAGGGGGGACUGGAAUUCUUGGUGUAGCAGUGAAAUGCGUAGAUAUCAAGAGGAACACCAGUGGCGAAGGCGAGUCCCUGGACGAUACCUGACACUGAGGCACGAAAGCCAAGGGAGCAAACAGGAUUAGAUACCCGGUAGUCC
This 272-nucleotide ribosomal RNA is filed under the name uncultured prokaryote. RNAcentral describes it as "partial 16S ribosomal RNA". It matches the Rfam family "Bacterial small subunit ribosomal RNA", at positions 524 to 796 of the family's 1533-position model. The record is from RNAcentral.